ACUCACCUGCGACGUCGUCUGUUGUGAAGUUCUUGCGACGUGAGCGACCGAAACUCGGGGCCCCGAAAAACUAGAGGCCCAAAAAACAGGAUUGUGAGCGAGCGAGGGAGCGGAGGAAUUUCGAGGGACUUUCUGCGACUGCGUCGUCGCCCAGACAAAAACAAAAAAAAUGCAGAAACAAAGGCCGACGGACGAAGGAAGUUGCCCAGGUUUGAUUACACAUCGACCCCUGGAGCGAGGACUUAACCCGACGGCAGCUGCAUCAGUUUCAGUUCUCCGAGGGACAUGUAGAUGGAUACUCUGGGCCCUCAUCUGCGUCUUCGCGUGUGUUUGUGUGUUUUUAUAACAUUUGUGGAUUACGCCUAUAAAAACUACACUUCACCGCGAAGCCAGCGAAGUGGGCACCAGCUACAACAAAGGACAACAAUUAUUCUGCAAAAAUGAUACAACCUGUCGCUCGAGAGAUUACAAACGGAGCUGCUUUUAUGGUUUGUUCCGCUUUUGUUUAACGAUUCCGAGGAUCACACGUAAUAACCCACGCAAUCCACCACCGAAGUCGGAAAACCGACUCAACGGAACGCAGCGCAACUUGACUCAACCGAAACUCGACACUUAUCCCUGGGAACUCAAAAUAGUGUUUUAUUGUUGGAAAUUACGAUUCUUUUAUUUAUUUACUUUUUCUGCAUUUCUUUGCCGCCCCACACACACCCACCGUUUCAAUUUUUAUAUGUUUAUUACGGUUAUUAUCGCUUAAUGGGGCUCGCUCGCUGGUUAUUGCUGUUGUUGUGUUGCUUGCACCAGUAGUUGUGUCAGACUAACGUGUGAAGUUGUUUUAUUAUUUGUUUUGAUUAUCAAAAUGGGCGUUUUACAUUUUUCCGGUCGUUGGGCGGCCCACCUGCCACGGGCCCACCGCUUAUAGUCCACAUCCCAUAACCCCGGGGCAAGGGCAGUAAAUCACGGCCCGCUGUGAGUGGCUGAGUACCUGGGCAGCAGUACACUUGAAAAAUAAUAACCCUUCUCUUUUAAAAUAUUGGACGGCUAGACAUAAUAUUCAAUUACAAAUACAUCACAGCAAUAAACCAUUUUUCGGGCUUCUAUAACAAGUUGAAUUAACCUAAAGAACUUUUUAAUUUAUUUAAAAACCAUUUUGAAUUUAUUUAGUUAAAUUUAGUUACUUAAAAUGUUCCAUCAUGUAUAAAUUAGUAAUAUGUCAUAAAAAUAGUUUAAUUCAAUACUAUUUCGUUACAAUAAUACGAAUUUUGCAUCAUCAAAGGUUAUACAAAAUAAAAUUACCAGUUAUAUUUUCAGUGCAUGAGUAAAUCCACUCAUUCGCACUCGCUGUAUGACCCAUAAGCAGAAACCAAAGUGUGGCAAAAUGCUUAAUUUAGAAUUUAUGAGCAAUUAAUUUUAAAGCGCUCUCUGGCCAUUAACGCCGUUACUGCUUCUCCCCCUUGACCGUAAUACACCUUUGGUCAUUAAAGAAUUAAGAAGCCAGUGUGCCAAAAAUUGAUUGUUUAGCCAAUCCGCUGAUGGAUCAAUUAUUCAAUUGUUAUAGCCAAAGAGUUGGCAAUCCAAUUUGAGCACGAGUCGUAUUCCAACAAAUAGACAGGUAGGAAGCACAUUAACUGGUAGAUUUAUGAAUAAGAAAUAAUUUAAAUAAAUUUGUUAUGCUUUAGAAAUUGUUUAUUAAGGUUAAUUUAUGAGUGUUAAAUGGCUAAAAAUUAUUUAAUUGAAGGAUAAGAAAAUGUUGUGAUGUGGUAUGAUUUAAAUAAAAAAUACAAAAAUAAAUAUAGAAAAACU
Molecule: non-coding RNA, 1800 nt
Organism: Drosophila melanogaster (fruit fly)
Lineage: Eukaryota; Metazoa; Arthropoda; Insecta; Diptera; Drosophilidae
Source: Ensembl